CUAAUCAAACUUGGUGAUAGCUGGUUCUCCCCGAAAUAGCUUUAGGGCUAGCCUUGCGUAUGUAGUCGUCGGAGGUAGAGCACUGGUUGGACUAGCGGGCCUACCAGCUUAGCAAACCCAGUCAAACUUCGAAUGCCGACGAUGUAAUCGCAGGAGUCAGUCUGCGGGGGAUAAGCUCCGUGGACGAGAGGGAAACAGCCCAGACCGCCGACUAAGGUCCCUAAAUUCAAGCUAAGUGGCAAAGGAUGUGAGACUGCCCAGACAGCCAGGAGGUUGGCAUAGAAGCCGUCACCCUUUAAAGAGUGCGUAACAGCUCACUGGUCGAGCGGUCUUGCGCCGAAGAUUUCCGGGGCUCAAGCUUGAUACCGAAGUCGCGGAUUGAACAUAAUGUUCAGUGGUAGGGGAGCGUUCUGCGCUGGCAGAAGGUCGACCGUAAGGGCGGCUGGACGGCGCAGAAGUGAUGAUGCCGGCAUGAGUAGCGAUAAAGCAGGUGAGAAUCCUGCUCGCCGAAAGCCUAAGGUUUCCGAUGCAAGGCAAUUCCGCAUCGGGUUAGUCGGGUCCUAAGUCGAGGCCGAAAGGCGUAGACGAUGGCAACACGGUCAUUAUUCCGUGACCUGCGCGUGAGGAUGAUUGAUUGGGGACGCGGGCGUGAAACCCUCAGAAGGGACUGGAGCCGGAGGCCGCGUUUAACAAAACAAAGCCGCGAGGGCGGAUCGUUCGCCAAGAAAAGCCAUAUCAUGACGACCGCGCAGCCCGUACCGUAAACCGACACAGGUAGGCGAGGAGAGAAUCCUAAGGCGCUCGAGAGAAUUCCCGUUAAGGAACUCGGCAAAAUGACCCCGUAACUUCGGGAGAAGGGGAGCCGUCUUCAGACGGCCGCAGAGAAAUGGCCCCGGCGACUGUUUACUAAAAACACAGGUCUGUGCUAAGUCGUAAGACGACGUAUACGGACUGACACCUGCCCAGUGCCAUGGCGUGAAGGGAUCUGGUUAGCCUCUUCGGAGGCGAAGCUUGAGAACAGAAGCCCAGGUAAACGGCGGCGGUAACUGUAACCGUCCUAAGGUAGCGAAAUUCAUCGUCGGGUAAGAUCCGACCUGCACGAAUGGUGUAACGACUGGGGCGCUGUCUCGACGGGAUACUCGGCGAAAUUGUAAUACCGGUGAAGAUGCCGGUUACCCACAGCAGGACGGAAAGACCCCGUGAACCUUCACUGCAACCUGGCAUUGGGCUUUGGCAUCAUCUAUCCAGGAUAGGUGGGAGGCUUUGAAGCGGCUGCGCCAGCAGCCGUGGAGCCGCCCUUGGGAUACCACCUUGGUGAUGAUGAAUCUCUAACCUGCGCCCGUGAAUCCGGGCGAGGGACCGUGUCAGGCGGGUAGUUUGAUUGGGGCGAUCGGCUCCUAAAAGGUAACGGAGCCGCCCAAAGGUUCCCUCAGUACGGUUGGUAAUCGUGCGGCGAGCGCAAAGGCAUAAGGGAGCUUAACUGCGAGACCUACAAGUCAAGCAGGUGCGAAAGCAGGGCUUAGUGAUCCUACGGCCCCGAGUGGAAGGGCCGUGGCUAAUCGGAUAAAAGGUACUCCGGGGAUAACAGGCUAAUCGCGUCCGAGAGUUCGUAUUGACGACGCGGUUUGGCACCUCGAUGUCGGCUCAUCACAUCCUGGGGCUGCAAAAUGGUCCCAAGGGUUGGGCUGCUCUCCCAUUAAAGUUGGUACGUGAGCUGGGUUUAGAACGACGCGAGUCAGUUCGGUCCCUAUCCGCUGUGGGCGCAGGAGAUUUGAGGGAAGCUGUCCUAAGUACGACAGGACCUGGAUGGACGAACCUCUAGUGUACCAGUCGUCUCGCCAGAGGCGCCGCUGGGUAGCUACGUUCGGAAGGGAUAAACGCUGAAAGCAUCUCAAGCGUGAAGCCCCUCCCAAGAUAAGAUCUCCCACAGGGUUAACCUGGUAAGACUCCUUCAAGAACAGGAGGUUGAUAGACCAGAGGUGUAAGCGCAGCAAUGUGUUGAGCUGACUGGCACUAAUCGUCGAGGGCUUGGCUAC
Molecule: ribosomal RNA, 2036 nt
Filed under: Candidatus Poribacteria bacterium
Lineage: Bacteria; Candidatus Poribacteria
Description: partial 23S ribosomal RNA
Rfam family: Bacterial large subunit ribosomal RNA
Source: RNAcentral